Molecule: non-coding RNA, 46 nt
Organism: Schistosoma rodhaini
Lineage: Eukaryota; Metazoa; Platyhelminthes; Trematoda; Strigeidida; Schistosomatidae
Source: Rfam
GCACUUCUGAAGAGUUCCACAAUAGGACGAAACGGCUUUCUAGUGU